Molecule: ribosomal RNA, 848 nt
Filed under: uncultured Atribacterota bacterium
Lineage: Bacteria; Pseudomonadati; Atribacterota
Description: bacterial SSU rRNA
Rfam family: Bacterial small subunit ribosomal RNA
Source: RNAcentral
AUCUAAAUGUUAGUGGCAAACGGUGAGUAAUUCGUGGGUGACUAGCCUUUAAGUGGGGGAUAACUAGCCGAAAGGCUGGCAAUACCGCAUAAUAUCGUUAGUUUAAAUACUAACGAUUAAAGUCGGGGACCUUUUUUAUAAGGCCUGGCGCUUAAAGAAGGGCUCACGACCUAUUAGCUAGUUGGUGAGGUAAUGGCUACCAAGGCGAUGAUGGGUAGCCGAUCUGAGAGGAUGACCGGCCACAUUGGGACUGAGAUCGGCCCAAACUCCUUCGGGAGGCAGCAGCGAGGAAUCUUCCGCAAUGGGCGCAAGCCUGCGGAGCGACGCCGCGUGAACGAUGAAGGCCUUCGGGUUGUAAAGUUCUGUUAAGUGGGAGAAAAAUUUAUUCUUGAAUAAAGAAUAAAUAUGACGGUACCACUAGAGAAAGCUCCGGCAACUACGUGCCAGCAGCCGCGGUAAUACGUAGGGAGUUAGCGUUAUCCGGAAUUACUGGCGUAAAGCGCACGUAGGUGGUCAAAUAAGUUACAUGUGAAAUCUUUCGGCUUAACUGAAGGCUGCAUGUAAAACUGUUUGACUUGAGUACAGAAGAGGAGAACGGAAUUCCCAGUGUACGGUGAAAUGCGUAGAUAUUGGGAAGAACACCGGUGGCGAAGGCGGUUCUCUGGUCUGAACUGACACUGAGGUGCGAAAGCUAGGGGAGCAAACGGGAUUAGAUACCCCGGUAGUCCUGCCGUAAACGAUGGAUACUAGGUGUAGGAGGUAUUCAAUCCUUCUGUGCCGCAGCUAACCAUUAAGUAUCCCGCCUGGGAAGUACGGCCGCAAGGUUGAAACUCAAAUGAAUUGACGGG